RNAcentral lists this long non-coding RNA (12903 nucleotides) under Jatropha curcas. Its description in RNAcentral is "long non-coding RNA (JCUR_LNC000827)". Lineage: Eukaryota; Viridiplantae; Streptophyta; Magnoliopsida; Malpighiales; Euphorbiaceae. The record is from RNAcentral.
AAACAUGUAGGUGGAUUUGUGCCUUCCAUUUCCUCUUCCGGUUGACAAUGUAGACCGAGCAUUAUCUCUCUGUGUUCGAGCUGCGUCUUUAUAGUUCCUUUGAGAAACCACACACUUGCUAUCAUCUUGUGCAGAUUUAUCAGUGUAGGUUACACUGUGAUUGAACUGCUCGGUUCUUACAUCCUGAGAUGGAUUGUCACUGGUGCUAGCAGUGAAAGUCCUUUCACUGCCAUAUUCUGUACUCUCCCUGGCACAUAAAUCUUUCCUGCAUCAUUGUUUUGAAGGAAAUCAAGUCACAUUCAAAUAUAUAUAUCCGCUGAUGAAAACAAAUAGUGCAGAAGUGACCAUUUUUUUUUUAGUUCAAGAGAGUAGAAUUACAAGGAAUUAUAAGACAAACUUAUUGGUUAAAUAACCGGUUAAUGACUGGGUUUAGAAUAUAAUUGAUUCUAAUUUCAUUUUUUUAACCCCUUAAUUUGCUUCUUAAUCAAAUAGAGAGGAAGCUGUGCCUUCUGCCAGAGAAAGAUAGCCAUUGACAUGCUAAGCUAAGUUACAGGUCAAGCCAAGUUAGGAUCAUCAAGUAAGAAAUGAAAGCAACAAGAAAUAAGUAAAACCAACUGCUAAAACUCUAAACAAUUAACAAAAUGUUAAAAAUAUAGCUAAAAUUAAUGCAUCCUAACUUUUCUUUUUCUUUUUUUAAUUAUUUUUCUUAUGUUAUUAUUAGCCAUAAUCUAGAAUAAGUACGCUUCCUUGAGGUAUUUAAUGUUCAGGUUGUUACUAAAAUUUACCUAAAAAUUAAUUAUCAGGCAACAAAUCUAAUUAGGGAACAUAAUCAACAAUCUCAAAUAAUAAAAAUCUCUACUUUAACACCAAAUACUAAAAAAUACACUGACCUUGAAUUGAAAUUUGGAGCCACCUCCGUAGACACAGCUUUUUCCCACAGAUUCUGCACAUCCUCAGGAAGAAGAUGCUUCAAAUCAUCAAAGUUUAGGAAAAAAUCACAAUCAAAGCCUGGACAAGGAACAGUGCCGAAACCCUCUUUGAUCUUUGCCUCCAAGUACUUGCUUAUACAGUAAUCGGAACAAAAACAGUGACCACAUUCCCCAUUCUUGAUUAGUUUCUCAUUUUCUAUCAUUUCCGUGCAAAUCACACAAAAACUGAGGGAUGAUUCAGAUUCACCUAUAUUUUUCACAUAUGGUGAUGGAUUCGGCAACUCUGAAGUGAAAAGAGAAGCCUGUAGAGCUUCUUGGAGCUGCAAUUCUUCAGCCAUUGCAGCAUCCGAUAAAAGCAUGAUUCGAAACUCAUCACCUCCAUUGUUGUUAAAGAAAGCUGGGUGAUGAGCUUCAUUGUUUGCAGGAAGAAGAUCAAAGGUCUGUGGUAUUGCCAUUUUAGAAAAUCUUCGUUGACUGUAAAUUAGUGGGUCUUCUACUCUUCUCUGUGUGAUAUGAACUCUUUACGUGCUUUAUAGUUUAGAAAACUUGGCUUGGAAGUUGUCUUUUCUUUUUUCCCUGUUCAGCAACUUCUCUGUAAUUAGUCCUUUUUGACUGAACAUUGAAUUGCUUUUUCUCUGUCCAUGUAGGCCAUUUCUGUAAUCUUUUUAAAUUAUUAUUUUGAUCGACUAAUAAAUAAAAUAAAAAAUUAUUAUUAAAAAGAAAUUUUUAAUCGCAUUGAUCAUAUUGACUUCUUUAAUCUUUAAAAAUCUUUGGCCGUAGAGUUUGUUAUUACUAUAAGUUAAAAUUUUUUUUCUAUAUCGGUAAUAUAUUAUUUUUUUCAUUUUCUUUCAAUCAUCAAGUUUCAUUUUUACGUUCCAUUUCAAUAAUUUUGUUUUUACAAUAAAUUCAACAAAAACGAGCACUUAUAAGGGGUAAUCUAUAUGUAUACACAUAAAUAUCCAAAUGCCCUUUCAUUCUUCAAUUAACGUCUCUCAUCUCUCUCUCUCUCUCUCUCAGUUUCUAGGAGUGGCAUAAGGGUAGCUUCCAUUAUUUCUCAUCAAUGCAGAAGAAGGGAAUCUGCGGUAUCUGCAACUGACGUUUCAAUGGCAGAGCCAUGGGAGGCCACAUGAAAUCUCACUCAGCUAAACAAUUGUUACCUCCAAAACUCAUUCCAACCCGCCAACAAAACCCAUCAUCCUCUGCUUCUCCUUCUAAUUAUCCUUCAAGUGAUCAAAACCCCAUGCAAAUGCAAUCCUCUCGAUCCACCAACCAAGAACUCCCUUUGAUAUCAAAACCUAAUCUUGCUAACGGUGGAGUAAGUGACACCGAUUUGUCACCAAGGAAUGACCCAAUUCGGAGACGAUCUAAAAGGCAGCGCAUAUCCGCCGAGAAAGUAACUGAAUCGGUCGUGAAAUCCGCCCAGUCACCAAAUUAUGUAAUUUAUAUAUCUUCUUCAAGCUAUGUGUCGCGGAGAAUAAUAAAACAAGCAUUAUAUGAUCAUGAAAGAAAUAGAUUCAGAUUUCUCCUUUGAGAUUUCCUUAAAUUUAAUAUAUAAAAGAUUCAUAUUUUUCCAUUGAGAUUUCCUUAAAUUUGAUAUGGAAAAAUAAUAAUUUAUCUCGAGAUUUUAUAAAAUUAAUUAAUUCAUCUUUUUAUUUUUAUAUAUUAAAUAUUUAGUCUAUUUUAUUUUUGCAUUUAGGUAUUUAAUCUCUGAAAUCUGAUUUCGUCGCAUUAAACUAUCUUUCCGUCCAAUUUUGAUGAGCUUCGCCGUUAAAUGGAUAAUAAAAGACUAAAAUACCCUUUGAAAAGUCAAAAAUUAAAGCCACCAUUCCUCUUCUUCUCCUUCAUCUCCUCAAAUCUCUAUUUCUGCUGUUAUACAAACUCAUUAAAUAAAGAAAUAUAUUAACCAACCAUUAAAUUUAUACUGUAUCUCACUUUGAGAGCAUUACAAAUCAUAAAAACAAAAAAAUCAUUUAAAAAAUCUGCCCUUCUUCUCCAACCACUUCUUCAUUCUCCAGAACUUGUACUGUGUUUUUUUUUUUUGGUGUAUUUGUGAGCUGGAUGAAGUAGUUUUCCGCCAUUCAUUUCUCUAACAACUUGGACAAUAAUCGGCAGAAUACAUACAAAGUAAAGCCCCUAAUAAACCAAAAAUGCAAGACCUCAAAUUUGAAAUUAACUUUAAAAAUCAAAACCCCUUUUUUUUUUUUUCUUUUUCUUACAUUAGCAGUGUCAUUUAAUAUCUUAAAACAAAGCUUUGGCCAUAACUACAGCAAAAUAAAAUACAGGCAAAUCAAAAUCUAUUACAAUCCAACCGUCAGUUAAUGACAUAGCCAUGGCUGCUCUUCGACUAGGAGUAGUGGUAUCUCCAAGCUUCUCCAGUCCUAUCCUCAAAAUACAAAAUUAGCAACACCUUCUCGGUGGUGGACGACGGAGUAAAUAUGGGCUGUGGCGGUGAGAGAAGGAAGACAAUAGAGAAGAGGAAAAUGGGUAAGGAACAAAGUUGAAGAGUACCGUUUUUCAUUUUAAAAUAUCUCUCUCUCCUCUCUUUCCCCUUUUACCUUCAUUUAAUAGAAAAAAUCAUUUUAUUUUGGACGCAACGAUCGUUUCAUGUGACGAAACCAAAUUUUAGGAAUUAAAUAUUAAAUAUAUAAAAAUAUAUAAUAUAUAAAAAUACGAAAAUGAAUUAAUUAAUUUUGUAAAAGUUCAAUGAAGAAAGAGUUGUUUUCCUUUUGAUAUAUAUAAUAACUGUAUACCAAACCAAUUACAAAAUUCAAAUGAAAAUAUUUUUAAUUUGAAAUUUAUUAUCUAGAAAAAUUUUUUUUAUUAAAAAUGUCACUGUCUUAUUUUUUCUAGUGAAUGUUAAAAUAAUAUGCUAAAAUAUUGUUUAGAAUUAAUUUAGUAUAUAAAUGGGCACGUAUAUUGGAUGCGAAUAAAUCUACCAAUUAUAAAUCAUACGCAAAAAAAAAAAAAAAAAUAAAACAUUAAUAUUAUUUCAAAAUAUAAUUUUAACCUAACAUAAAAUUUUCUAUUUGAGAAGCUAUUAAUUUUGGUUGGUCUUUUUAAUAAGAAAUUUUGGUUAAGCACGUGGUAGUUAUACGAAUUAGAAAUCAAGGAAAAGGAAAGGGGAAUGACUCCCUUUUUUUUUUUGGCAUUGUAUAAAUUCUUUUUUUAAUUUAAAUAUUCUUUAGGUGCAGAAUGUAAAAUAUACAUAAAGCAUAGAGCUUUUUUUAUCAAUUUGUCAAUUUAGAAGAUUUUGGCUUGGCUCCCUUCCUCACAAGCUGCAUCCAAGUUUCUUACACUAUGUUUGGAUUCACGAAAAACAUAGGAAAAUAGUAUAAUUUUUUUUUUCUUUCUCUUAUUUGGUUGUAAAUCAAUAAUAUGAUUUAUCAUAGUGAUUUAAUAAAAGUUCGAUGGACGGAAAACAAGAUACUUAUAUAUAUAUAAAAAAAGACAAUUUAUGAAUCAAAUUAAUUGUAUAUCUAAGAAAAAAAAGGUAUGAAUUCUUGUUGGAGAAAAAAAAAAAAAUAUAUAGUAUGAUUCUUGUGGUUUCCGAAAUACAAGUAGUCAGUUCUUGUCUUUUUUAAAAUACACUAAAGAAUCAUUACAUUUUACUUUUUCAGAUUAUAAGGUUCUUCCAUCCAAGUUUUGCAUCUAUUAAAUACCUUAUGAAAUGAUAAAAAUAUUCUUUUUAUUUUUAAAAAUACAGAGACAGGUUAGUUGUAUUUUUCAAACUAUAUGAACCAUACUAUAAUUUUGUGAUAUAGUAUUUUAAUAUCUCUCAUUUAACCUCUGUAUUUUUUUAUUAACUUAAAUGAAAAGAUGUAAAAAUUGAACAAAAUGAUCUAAUAGUAUAAUAAAGUAGAAUAUGAAAAAAUUAAUAUAUUUUAAAAAAAUAAAGAUAGACUAAUUAUAUUUCGCAAACCAUAAAUAUCGUAUUGUAUUUUUUUUUUUUUCAAAACAUAUUGAAUGAAAUCUUAUAUUGAAAUCUUCUCUCUUCCUUUUUUUUUCAAAAAAAAAAAAAAAAACAUUAUUAUUAUUAUUAUUUUUUUAAAAUUUUUCUAGGCGUGAUGGUAGAUCUUGUUGUUUCCUCAGUCCACACGAUGGCCGUCCGCUUUGACCAUAUUUCGGAUCUGACGAAGAAUAUUUGAGUCUAACCUAACAGGAAGAAUGCAGGUUGGAGUUGAAGAAUUUGACGUGACUUCCAACACCACAGUAAAAGCCGUUAGGCAUGAAAUAUGAAAGAAUAGCGUUGGCAUAGUUUGUUAUAGUUAUUUAUUUUUAGUUUUUUAUUUAUUAAAAACAUGAAGUAAUUUUUAGUUUUUGAUUAUUUAUCUUUUUCAACUGUUUUUUUAAUUAAUUUAUUUAUUUUAUUCAUGAUAUGAAGAAUUUUUUUCAUUAUCAAAUCUCUUCCGUUAAAAGAUUUUAAUUAAUAAUAAAAAUUUUAAAAAUUAUUUUGGGAUAAAAUAAUUAAAAUAUUUCAUAAUUUAAUUUUUAAAUAAAAAUAAUACUAAAUAGAUAAGAGAAAGAAAAAUAUAUAAUUUGAAUAAAAAAUAAAACUAUCUUCUUGUAUUUUUUUGCAUAAAUAAAUGAUAUUAGAUUUGUAUAGAUAAUAAUAAUAAUAAUAAUAAUAAUAAUAAUAAUAAUAAUAAUAAUUUAAUUAGGAUAAAUCUUAUAAAAAAUAAAAAAUAAAAGAAUGUAGAAUUAAGAACAAAAACAUAAUUACAUAAACCACUAUUUGUGGUUUCAUCAAAUUUAUUUUUUAUUUUAAAAACGGUUUUAUUAAAGGUAAAAAAAAAUUAAAUAAGUUUAAACAAACAAGUUUUAUUUAUUUUUUAAGAAAAAAAUAAAAAAACAAAAACCUUAAAUGAAAACAAACCAACAACUCAGGCCUCGAUUGUUAUAGUUGUUUGUUUUGAGUUUUUUUAUCUAUUAGAAAUAUAAAACAGUUUUUAGUUUUUGAUUAUUUAUUUUUUGAAAACUAUUUUUUUUUCUAAAUUUUUUUUUUAUUCACAAUGUGAAAAAUUAUUUCAAUUAUCAAAUCUCUCUUAUUAAGUCAUUCAAAAUUUUACUUAAUAAUAAAUUUUCAAAAUUUCAUGUGAAAUAAUUAAUAUAUUUUAUAAUUUAAUUUUAAAAUUUCAAUUUUACAGUAACUAUUGAUUAUUAUGUUGAAUAAAAACAUAAUACCCAAAUAUUAUAAUAAAUAAAUAAUACUAAAUGACAAUAGAUUUAUAUAUAGAGAGAAAAUAAUAAUAAAUAUAAAAAUAAUACUAAAUAGAGCAGAGAUAGAAAAAAAAAAGUUGAGAAUUUGAAUAGAGAUAAAAAUAUAUACUUGUAUAUUUUGGAUAAAUAAAAUGACAUUAUACUUAUAUAGAUAGAGAAAAUAAGAGUAAUAAUAACACCGAUAACAAUAAUUUUAUCUGGAUAAAUCUUAUAAAAAUGAAAAAAAAUAAGAAAUAUAAAAUUAAAAACAGAAAACACAAUUUUGUAAACUAAACAAAAAAAAAAUUAAACAAAUUUAUUUUUGUUUUCAAAACAGUUAUCUCAUAAGUAAAGAAAAAAAAAAAAAAGCAAAUUUCAACAAACAUGUUUUAUUUAUUUUUUAAAGAAAAAAAUGAAAAAUAAAAAAUUUAAUCAAAAACAAACAGCAGCUUGAUUUUUAAUUCUUUUAAUUUAAGGGAAAUUCAUAAAAUUAAAUAGAAAUUUUAACUUCUAAAUUUCCCAUGUGCAAGUUACGUUGUAAAAUCAGCCAACAAAGUCUUAGCUAGAGACUUUAAUUCUUUAUCUUUUUUUUUUUCUUUUUUCUUUUUUCUUUUUUUUUUAAAUCACUGAAUUAAGUCGCUGAUUUAUUGGCAAGAAUGUCUGAUUGGAUGGUAAAUGAAAUUUAUAUGUUUUUUUUUUUUUUUGUGAUCUUUUGUAUUAGGAAAAAUUAAAAUUAUUUUAUAAAAUUCUAGUCAAAUUACUAUACAAGAAUUAUCAUUUCAAAAACUAAUUAUGUGGUCCAUAAUUUAUUAUUUUGUUAACAUGUUAUUCUCUCCGUUCAAGGUAGAUUUUUACCGUUUUCACUGCCGAAUUAACCGAGAAAUUUAUACCUAAAUUAUAACCAAACUAAUUAUGAGAUUUUUAAUUUAUGAUUUUAUUAACAUUUUAGUAUUUCUGUUUUGAACGGAAUAGCUAAACUGUUAAUAGAGUUAUAAAUGAGACUUUAUAAUUAAUAACUUGUUAUUAAAAUAGGAGAACCAAAGCUCUCAACAUGGUGAGAGACAAAAAACUUUAAGCGUGAUCAAGAUGAUUUGGUCAUUGAUGAAUUUAUAUGGUGUUUUUAUUUUCAUAUAUGAUAUUGAAACCCAAACCGCUAACUGUCACUUAAAACAAUAAUUAAUAAAACACAAUUUUUACAUAUAUUAGUUUCACAUAUUAUGAAUUAAGCAGAGAAAAUAUGGAAUACAUUGUCCAAACAAUACGACAUCGUGUCAUUUUGAAACGUGCUUCCAAUUUGUUACUGGUAUUACUAGGACUUCCUCUUCUUGCCCAAUAACCCAAUUAACGGCAUUUUUCCCAAUAGCUUUUGCCUCAACUUCUCUAUGUACUCAUGGCGUUCUUCACUACCAGAAGCUGAAAUAAGUUGGCGUCACCGGCCUAAUCAUUGUUUCCUCCGUCAUAACGGGAGCUAUAUUUAUCAUUUCUUGUAUUACUGGCGAUUGAGAGCCCUCUGCCAUUCCUACAUUUUCCUUGUGUUGUUCUGUAAUUUCCUGAUUUCUGCAUCCAGAACUGAUGGACUAAAUUGAAAAGGACCUAAAAAAAUAGUAAUUUUCGAACACUAACUUUUAUUAAAAUACCUGUUUUCGCAAUAAUUUAUGCUUGGAAGAUUUGCAUUUGACUCCUCUAAAUUUUCUUGUUCUUCAUAUUUCUCCUGCUUUAUAUUCUCAAUAUCUCCAUCGUUUUCAUUUCUUCCUUCAAGAGUUGUUCCGAUUUGGUCCUUGUAGAAUUGUUCCAUAAAUUUGAUUAUGUCCUUGGCAAAAGUAGCAUGGAGAGUUGCUAAUUAGAGGUGAGCAUUAAUCGAUGUGGUGUAAAUUGAUUAUGUCCUUGGCAAAAAUUAAUUAUACCUCUUCCAUGCUCUGCUCAUGAUGCUGGUUUGCUUGAUGUCUCAGAUUAUCCAUCUCCUUGGUUAACAUUUUCAGCUUUUCCUUCAACAUGGAAUUGGAUUCUUCAAGCUCUUUAGUAUGCCUUUGCUGCUCAGAGACUCUGUUCUUUAACCACUGAAGCUGAUGAUUCUCUUCUGUCAUUUGCCUGAUUCCAUUCACCACCAUUUCUUGAUAUGAUCUCAUCUCAUAUUUCAGCUUAACCCUACCUAAUAAUCAAUUUCAAAAAGCUCAAUUGCAUAAUUUAUCAUAAUAAUUCAGGGCUAUAAACGAGCUGAUUCUAGCAAUUUACAAUUGAAAAGAUAAAAAAUUUGGCCUUUUACAGGCUCGAAUUGAGGUCAAACUCAUUUAUAAAGUAAGUAGGCUCAAGUUCGGCUCGUUAAACUCAUCGAUCAUGUUUUUCUCUGUGAAAUCUCGAGCAGAUCGGCUCGUCUAUAUCCCUACAUAACAUCAUCUGUUUCGGACUUUAUGUGAUUUUCAAUUUAAUCCAUUACCUCUAACAAAUUUUUUAUUGAAGAAAUCAACAUCUUCUUUUUUUGCCAUGUAACCAUAAAGUUGGUGCUGUUCAGCUGAAAAGUUAAAGAGCCGCCGGUUAAGGAAAUCAUCUCUGCCUAUUCCCUCGCUUACAAAAUGUCUACAUAGACGCUCUGCUUCUAAAUAACCCUUUACUGAGCUUUCAAAAAUUAAGAUGCUGAAUCCACUAUGUCUCUUGUUAGGGUGUUGAACUCUCACAAUACCCUCAUAUGAACUGAACAUUUCCAGCAGCUCUUCACUUGUCAUGCCAAUCCUCUACAAUUCCAUCAAAAUCCAAACAAGAGAUAAGUAAUUUAUAUCUAUUUGUGCAAAUAAUAAGAUUAGGAGUGGAUAAUCUCACCUUAUAAUUCUCAUCCUCUUUGUAGGUUGUAUUAGCAAUUACAACCAUAGGAGGCCAAACCAUCUCAAAAUCUAUGUUAUUAUUGCUUAAACCUUUGCAUUUUGGACUUGCUGCUUCUUGAAUUAUAGUUGCAGAAAUUGCCUGCUGAUCAUUAGAAUGCAACUUGUCUUCCAGCAAUUGUGCAAGCUCUCUGUGGAGCCUAAUCCUUGUAGACCCUUUGGUUUUAGCAUGCUGAAUGAGGGGCUGCAGGCCCAAGUACAGUUCAGUGGUAUCUCCACCUCUUUGACAUACUGGGCAGUGCCAUUGUCUGGCUUGGUUUUUUAUCUCUUCAAAGAUCAAACAUCCUAGCUCCUUAAGAAAUUUCUUGAACCACUUGCUCUUCUUGCAAGCCUCAACUUUUCUUGGACUUGCUUCAGAAUCGUAAUCGUCGGUAUCAGGUAAUUCAUCUGAAUCACUAUUAGCAGGUUUUUUGCCAUUCUCUGAAUUAGUCUUCAGAUGCAAUUCUUUGCUGUAUCAUUGUUUUACCAAUUGUUAAACUACUUUAUAAUUAAGCUUAACUAAUAACACAAAUACAACACCAACACCAUCAACAAACUAUUUAUUUUUAACCCAGAAAUUAAAUGUGCACUGACCUGCAAGUAAAAUCCAUGGACAUUGUCCUUUCCCACAAAUUGAGCACAUCCUUGGAGAGCAAAUGCUUAAAAGAAUCCAAUUCUAGAACAUAAUCACAAUUUAAGCCUGGACAAGUGACAAUAUUGAAUCCCUCUUUGAUCUUUGCCUCUAAAUGCUUGCUUAGACAAUAAUCCAAGCAAAAUGAGUGACCACAUUUCCCAUUCUUGAGAACCUUACCUUUUUCUUUCCUUUCUUUACAAAUUUCACAAAAACUCAUAGAUGAUUCACCUCUUUGUACUUUGAUCUCUUGAAGUGAUGGUAUUUGACAAGUGAGCAAAGAGGCCUUUAGACUUUCUUGAAACUGCAAUUCUUCUGCCAUUGCCGCAUCAGAUAGUAGCCAAAGCUCUUUUUUUUCAUUUUCCAUCAACAAAUUAUGAGAAGUGGGUAUCUUAUUUAGAGGAAGAAGAUUAAAGGAUUCAGGAGCUAUUUCUAUUCUGCAGAAAUUUUUGGCGGGUUCUUUUAUGCUUUGCCGUCUCUAUAAAUGAAGUAGCUUAUUAUAUAGUAACAGCUUCCAUUUAAAUUGCCUACCAAGAACUUCACUUGGAAGUUAUCCGGAUUCUACUUCUUUGAGGGGCUCAACUUCUUUCUACGGCUUUUCCACAGUAUCAUGUGUUUGUUUGACAUUUUGCAUCUCUUACCUAUGAAGGACCUUAACAUAUGCAUGGGGGAAUAUUUGUAUAUAUGAUUUGGGGACAAGAAUUACUUUCUCCUUUUUUAUUGAUUCAUGCUGAUGAAUUUUGUUUUAUUUUAUAUAUUAUACUAUAGAUUUUUAUACUGUUCCAUUACGUUGUCAUUUUUAGCCCCUAACAAGAGAUUGAAUUGGAUUUCUUUCUGUGUCUUUUCCUUGUCCUUGUCCAUCAAGAGACAAGGAAAAAUUUUUAUUUGACAGCAAAAUUUGUUCCCUUUGUCAUUCUAAAUGAUUUUUAAGUUUUGUUUUAACAAAUGUUGGGUUGCUUUCUUCAAUCCAACUCAGAUGAUAACAACUUCUAGUGGUCCAACUCUGAUAAAUUCAAAGUUUCUGUACACAUGAAAAUAUUUUCAGGAAACCCUAUUUAUAAAGCGUAGAUAUAGUUGUUAUCAUUCACCAGCUUGCUAUUGCUAACAGUCUAAUUUACUGGAUAGGCAGUCAAGUCUUCAAGUUAAUAAAUUUUAUUUAUUUUUUAUUCCUGGUCUCAUUCAAAAGCUAAAAAUCUAUUUGCCAGAGAAAUCGGAGUCUGAUUUAUGAUAACAUUCGAAUAGUUGAUGUUUAAUCAUAAGUACAAUUCGGGAUAAAUUUUUGUUUUCAAUACAUAUUAGGAUCAGGGAUCAAUAGUUGCUCCAUUCCUUUCACAAAAAUGUAGACUCGCUUGCAGAAUGUGAAAGGCAGAGGAGAGAAUUAUGCUCUGGGGCUACCUAAUAAUUCUCAUUAGUAUGGGGAUUGAAGCACCAAGAACUGGGAUGGCAAGAUCUUUCCAUGACAUCUCAAAACACAUGGACCGAUGAUCGCUAACUCCCCGCUUUUCCCGGGGUCUCCCAGCAAAUCUUGAACUUGCACUUGCUCUUUCCCUUGCAAUUUCAGGUUUCUUAAUCUCUUCUCGUUCUGGCAACCAAGGAAUCUCUGCUACUUCUUGUGUUUCAUUUUCAGUGUCUUGAAUGUUUAAUAACUCUUGUUCUUGCCCACUCUUUAUCUUGUCAAAAUCUCCAUCUUUGUCACUUCCUGAUUCAAGAUUUCUGAUUUUGUCCUUGUAAAAUUGCUCUUGAAAUUGCAUCUAAGAAAAGGCAUUAAUAUAAUCAGUCAUGACAUAUAACUAAUAUACCGCUUAAUUUCGUCUGUGGUUAGGUGACAGACAAGUACUGCAUUGUCUUCUAAAAUUCACCUAUAUUUAAGAGAGAAGAAAGGGGGGGNNNNNNNNNNNNNNNNNNNNNNNNNNNNNNNNNNNNNNNNNNNNNNNNNNNNNNNNNNNNNNNNNNNNNNNNNNNNNNNNNNNNNNNNNNNNNNNNNNNNNNNNNNNNNNNNNNNNNNNNNNNNNNNNNNNNNNNNNNNNNNNNNNNNNNNNNNNNNNNNNNNNNNNNNNNNNNNNNNNNNNNNNNNNNNNNNNNNNNNNNNNNNNNNNNNNNNNNNNNNNNNNNNNNNUAAUUAUUCUUUAAAGUUGCAUUUCAAAUAUAUAUUUUUAUAUGCAUACCUUUAAAGCCAUCCACAUCUUCUUUCAAUGCCAUGAAACCAUAAAGUUGGCGCUUUCCACUGGGUAGGAAAUAGACCCGCCGUGUAGGCCCGAUGAGUCCAAGCAUAUCUAUCUUUCCGUUCCUCUGCAAAAUGCUUAUGCAGGCGCUCUGCCUCUAAAUACCCCUUUGCUGAGCUCUCAAAAAUCAACAUACUUAACCCGCAAUGUCCUUGCCAAUUGUAAGAGUUUUGAGCCUUAACAAUGGCAUCAUAUGAGCUGAACAAGUCUAAUAGCUCUUGACUUGUCAUGCCAAUCCACUGAAAUCCACAAUUCCAUCAAAACAAGAGCCAACUAAUCAGCAGAACAUUAAAUCUAUCUUCAGAAGAAAGUAAAUAGCAUUCUAUUGUUAUAAAUAAUCUCACCUUGUUAUUCUCAUCUUUCUUAAGCCUUGUAUUUGCAAUUAGAACCAUAGGAGGCCAAACUAUCUCAUGAUCAUUCUUCUCAUCUUUUACACUUUCCCAUUUGCUACUACUUGCUUCACCUUCAGGAAUAUUAGCUGCAACUCUUUCUCUUUCAUCUCCUGAACAUUUCCGUGAACUAGAAGCAAAAGCAGUUUGCAUAUUCAGUCUCGGUCUCAUAAAUGGGCUCUCUGAAAAUCGUGGAACCGUGUUCUUGAUAAACUUGUAGGCUGAUUUGGGCCUUCCAUUUCCUCUUCCGGUUGACAAUGUAGACCGAGCAUCAUCUCUCUGUUUUCGAGCUGCCUCUUCAUAGUUCCUUUGAGAAACCACACACUUGCUAUCAUCGUGUGCAGAUUUAUCAGUGUAGGUUACACUGUGAUUGAACUGCUCAGUUCUUACAUCCUGUGAUGGAUUGUCACUGGUGUUAGCAGUGAAAGUCCUUUCACUGCCAUAUUCUGUACUCUCCCUGGCACAUAAAUCUUUCCUGCAUCAUUGUUUUGAAGGAAAUCAAGUCACAUUCAAAUAUAUAUAUCCGCUGAUGAAAACAAAUAGUGCAGAAGUGACCAUUUUUUUUAGUAAGGGGGUAGAAUUAAAAGAAAUUAUAAGACAAACUUAUUGGUUAAAUAACCAGUUAAUGACUGGGUUUAGAAUAUAAUUGCUUCUAAUUUUCAUUUUUUGAACCCCUUAAUUUGC